Molecule: long non-coding RNA, 593 nt
Organism: Prosopis cineraria
Lineage: Eukaryota; Viridiplantae; Streptophyta; Magnoliopsida; Fabales; Fabaceae
Exons: 3
Source: RefSeq, a predicted model, not a curated record
UUCUCUAUUGUUCUCGUGGUUUCUUUCAGAUGAGUCACCUACUCUUGAGCAUUCUAAAGCAGGUCUUUUGUCAAUGUCAAAAGAUGAUUGCAAAAAAUUUGGUUCUCUAUUUGUGAUCACAUUGAAAGCUGAUCCAUCCCUUGACAGUUCAUAUGUGGUCUUCGGGGAGCUUAUUGGUGGACAACGAACACUGGAUAUGAUUGGAGAAUAUGGUUUUGAGCUACCUGUUCAAAUCAUCCAAUGUGGUGCCUAUACUGAAGUUGGAAGGUGAUGCUUGAAGGAGCACAUCAAUACAUAGAAGUAGAAAUCACAGCUGCUCAGAAUACCAUUGCAAGAUUGCAACCUUUUGAUUGUUUGGAGUAGGGUUUAUUGACGUGAUGGAUCACUAAUGUAAUUGUUUCCCUCUGUUAUAAGUGGAAGUGUUGAAUCCCCGGCAUUGUGUACCCUGACCUGCAUCCACUUCUCCCUCUAUCUGAUAACAUCACUUUCUUUCUAGCGUUCUGUUUGUUCAAAUGUUAUCAUUGGCAAGGAUAAUUUGUGAUGAGCGUGCUCAUAAGGCUAGGAGCUAUUUCCGCCUUCUAUUUCAGUUCAAA